This 50-nucleotide microRNA precursor is filed under the name Saimiri boliviensis boliviensis (Bolivian squirrel monkey). Its description in RNAcentral is "microRNA 320c-2 (ENSSBOG00000018123.1)". It matches the Rfam family "mir-320 microRNA precursor family", at positions 14 to 62 of the family's 76-position model. Lineage: Eukaryota; Metazoa; Chordata; Mammalia; Primates; Cebidae. The record is from RNAcentral. RNAcentral also lists the same sequence under 1 other name.
CUUCUCUUUCCAGUUCUUCCCAGAAUUGGGAAAAGUUGGGUUGAGAGGGU